GACGAACGCUGGCGGCGUGCUUAACACAUGCAAGUCGAACGGAAAGGCCCUGCUUUUGUGGGGUGCUCGAGUGGCGAACGGGUGAGUAACACGUGAGUAACCUGCCCUUGACUUUGGGAUAACUUCAGGAAACUGGGGCUAAUACCGGAUAGGAGCUCCUGCUGCAUGGUGGGGGUUGGAAAGUUUCGGCGGUUGGGGAUGGACUCGCGGCUUAUCAGCUUGUUGGUGGGGUAGUGGCUUACCAAGGCUUUGACGGGUAGCCGGCCUGAGAGGGUGACCGGCGACAUUGGGACUGAGAUACGGCCCAGACUCCUACGGGGGGCAGCAGUGGGGAAUAUUGCACAAUGGGCGGAAGCCUGAUGCAGCAACGCCGCGUGCGGGAUGACGGCCUUCGGGGUGUAAACCGCUUUCGCCUGUGACGAAGCGUGAGUGACGGUAAUGGGUAAAGAAGCACCGGCUAACUACGUG
RNAcentral lists this ribosomal RNA (468 nucleotides) under uncultured bacterium. Its description in RNAcentral is "partial 16S ribosomal RNA". It matches the Rfam family "Bacterial small subunit ribosomal RNA", at positions 28 to 507 of the family's 1533-position model. The record is from RNAcentral.